This 618-nucleotide ribosomal RNA is filed under the name Anthostomella obesa. RNAcentral's name for it is "eukaryotic LSU rRNA". It matches the Rfam family "Eukaryotic large subunit ribosomal RNA", at positions 23 to 664 of the family's 3401-position model. Lineage: Eukaryota; Fungi; Ascomycota; Sordariomycetes; Xylariales; Xylariaceae. RNAcentral also lists the same sequence under 1 other name. The record is from RNAcentral.
ACCCGCUGAACUUAAGCAUAUCAAUAAGCGGAGGAAAAGAAACCAACAGGGAUUGCCCUAGUAACGGCGAGUGAAGCGGCAACAGCUCAAAUUUGAAAUCUGGCUUUCGGGUCCGAGUUGUAAUUUGUAGAGGAUGCUUUUGGCGCGGUGCCUUCCGAGUUCCCUGGAACGGGACGCCUUAGAGGGUGAGAGCCCCGUACGGUUGGACACCAAGCCUCUGUAAAGCUCCUUCGACGAGUCGAGUAGUUUGGGAAUGCUGCUCUAAAUGGGAGGUAAAUUUCUUCUAAAGCUAAAUAUUGGCCAGAGACCGAUAGCGCACAAGUAGAGUGAUCGAAAGAUGAAAAGCACUUUGAAAAGAGGGUUAAAUAGCACGUGAAAUUGUUGAAAGGGAAGCGUUUGCGACCAGACCUUUUCCUAGCGGAUCAUCCGGUGUUCUCACCGGUGCACUUCGCUAGGUCGAGGCCAGCAUCGGUUUUCGUAGGGGGAUAAAAGCCUUGGGAACGUAGCUCCUUCGGGAGUGUUAUAGCCCUUGGCAUAAUACCCUUACGGGGACCGAGGACCGCGCUUUUUGCAAGGAUGCUGGCGUAAUGGUCGUCAACGACCCGUCUUGAAACACGG